GUGCUCUAGAAUAGGAGGCAAAAAUGUCAACUGGCUGGCUGCUGAGCCACCAGGGUUUCCCUACAGUUUCUUCCAGGCAGGGUUAUCUGGAGCACUCAGCGUACAGGAAGUAAUUUCUGGCCGAGAGACAUGGCUAAAAACGCCAAACCUCAGAACAGGGAUUUUUCAACGUAGACUGAAGUGAGGAGGAGAAAGAAGGCAGAGAAACAUGAAUUUUGUUAAAUGUGUGUGCACAUGCAUCAAUUUUCAUAGUUUCAGUUCCCCCAAAAUCAAGAACAAAAGCCUCAUGGCUUUCAUGCUACUAUGUUUUUUUACAGUUGUGGUCUAGUGGGAAUAACAAACAAGCUUUGGAGUCAGAUGGGGUGGUGUCUGAAUUCCACCUCUGCUGCUAACUAUGUGACCCAGGCCCAGAGACGGAAAGUACAAAGACUAGUAAAAUACAUCCUUGCCCUUAAGGAGCUAAGUACCCAAAACCUGUAAUCCAUCUUGAGUCACCAGAGUACGGUUGCUCAGAAACAGCAGUGGUGCGGUGGAAAGGGCAUCAACCCUGCGAUCCGGACAAGUCACUCCAUCCCUCUGAUCAUGCGUGCCCACCUACCACAUGAGGAUAUCACUUCAUAGACUUGCUGGAAGGGUUCAUUGUGUUAGCCUGUUCCCUGAGCUCUCUUCGUGAUCAAGAAGACUGAUCAGAUAAAUCAAGAGACUUGCCCAAAAUUACCUAGGAAAUCUGUAGCAGCAGCAGAACCAAACUCCGGUCCUUGCUAAAUCUAGAUACCAGGCUAGCUUUUCUAUGGACCCAGAAUUAACCCAUACAAAUGUACAAGCUUUUCCAGACCAGCUGGGGUGAGAUGAAUGAAAAUGGCAGCAACAUCAAUACCUCAGCUUCUUCAGCAACUUCAUCAAGUAAGGCUGCCAUGAGGAAGUGGGCCUAAAGGAGAGUUUUCUAGAACAAAGAAGGGGGCAAAGGAGUGGCUUGAAACUGCAAAAAGUGCAGACAAAAAAAAAAAAAAAAAGAAUGAAAUCUGGAGAGGAUGUGAGGAGAGGUCUAGCAAAAUGAUUAAAAAUUUGGACUUAGCAUCAAAGUCAAACAGAUCCAUAUUCAAAUCGUGGCUCUUCCAUGUCUUCACUAUGUAACCCCGAGGGAGCCAAUUUAACUCUCUUGGACUCCUCCUUUCUAAGCAUUUUAUCCACAGGGCCAUAAUAAAGAUCAAAGGAGAUCGUGUCUAAAAUGUCUAGCACAUGGUAAAUCACUCAAGAGAUGCUAGCCAAGAAAAGGAAAAAAAGGAAGGCGGCAAAGGGAAAUAGGUACUGAACGGUGACUCACAGAAACCAGGAUCCAAGGCUCCUUUCAAAAGUCAAGGCUUUAACCAAUGAGGGUUUCUGAUUAAGUCACCCUGGAGAAGGGGCUUUGGGCAAAGGUCUGCGGUAUGCUGACGAAAGCUGGACGCUGGGAGAACUGGUAAGAAUAUGCUAUUCUUCUGUUUCAAACUCUCCAGUAGCUUCCCAUCCAGCAGCUUUCAUGCCAAGCUUCCAGUUUGGCAUGAAAUCCGAACUCCUUAGCAGAGUUUACAACACCUCCACAAUAAAUAAGGGUCUGCCUUCCUAA
Long non-coding RNA from Homo sapiens (human), 1606 nucleotides. RefSeq lists it as uncharacterized. Lineage: Eukaryota; Metazoa; Chordata; Mammalia; Primates; Hominidae. The transcript has 2 exons. The record is from RefSeq and is a predicted model, not a curated record.